Molecule: long non-coding RNA, 861 nt
Filed under: Ananas comosus (pineapple)
Lineage: Eukaryota; Viridiplantae; Streptophyta; Magnoliopsida; Poales; Bromeliaceae
Description: long non-coding RNA (ACOM_LNC019206)
Source: RNAcentral
GAGGAAAUAUAAACCCGUAUCUCUUUUUUGUAUUCAAAUGCUAUUUUUUGUAUCUGAGAACUCGCGUAUCUAAAAUAAGCUCGUAUAAUCUGGUAUAAGUUUGGAAUUAUUAUUUCACCCUUAUCCCUAGAACAACAGAAAAUAAAAUUAAUUAAAUUCUAAUUAAAAAUUUUAAAUUAUUAAUUAAUGUAAUUAAUAAAUUUAAAUUAUUAAUUAAUCUAGCUAAUAUUAAAUUAUUAUCUCCAGAUAACUCGCUAAGGGUGAAAACAACUGUUGGAAAUAGCUGAUCCCACUUCCCACCCCUAUUUUAAAUUUUAAAAAUUUUAAAUUUUAAAUUUUAAAAAUUUUAAAUUUUUGAAAUUUAAAUUUUAAAAUUUAUAAUUUGUAAUCUCAAAAUAAAGUUUACAGUUUUCAAUUCUAAAUUUUAAAUUUUAAAUUUUAAAUUUUAAAAAUUUUAAAUUUAAAAGUUGAUAUUUAUAUUUUUUAAAUUUAAUCUUAAAUUUAAAGUUUGAAAGUUAAAAUUUAAAAUUUAAAAAUUUUGCAUUUUAAAAUUUAAGAUUUUAUAUUUUAGCUUUUAAUUUUGAAAUUUGAAAUUUAAAAAUAUAAAUAUAAAAUUUAACAAUUCAAAUUCAAAUAUAAUGAGAGGGGUAAUAUUAUUAUUUUUUAUUCUUCUUAUUUUUUAUUUUAUCUAUUCAAACGCUAUUUUUCAUAUUUAUGGAGACAAUUUAAUUUUUAUCCGAACGUAAAAUUAGUUUAGUUCUUAUUUAUACUUGAAUUUAUAUCUAUUUCUGAAAUAGACAGCGAACCAAAUGAUACGUUAAUGAUUGUAGCUAGUGUGGCAUUGUAUGUAGGGAUGUAAAU